GGUUCGAUCCCAGUUGGUAGAGCAGUUGACUUUUAAUCAAUUGGUCGCAGGUUCGAAUCCUGCACGACCCACCA
RNAcentral lists this transfer RNA (74 nucleotides) under Klebsiella pneumoniae. Its description in RNAcentral is "tRNA-Lys". It matches the Rfam family "tRNA". Rfam says of the family: Transfer RNA (tRNA) molecules are approximately 80 nucleotides in length. Their secondary structure includes four short double-helical elements and three loops (D, anti-codon, and T loops). The record is from RNAcentral. Lineage: Bacteria; Pseudomonadati; Pseudomonadota; Gammaproteobacteria; Enterobacterales; Enterobacteriaceae.